GUCAUAUGCUUUUUUCAAGGGGCUAAGCCAUGCAGGUGUGAGAUCGCAUUGCGGGCAUGCAAACACCAACCGGUCUGCGAAUGGCUCAUUACUACAGCUGCAAAAUCCGCACGACAUCGGUGCCGCUGCGUUGUGCUGUCGCUCAAAACGCGCAGUGGUGUUGCGAGGUUCCAAACCUUUUCCACUGGCAUGGGCGUGUUUCAUCUCCCAGGGAUUGCUGUCCGCAUCCUCCGGCUGAAGUUGGAGAGGACCCGAGGAACAAACCAGGUGCAGUUCCGCCCCUGUGUGGGGUUGUUCUGCAUGCUCCUUGGGGGCACUCGCCCCGGCCUGCGAGCGAUCCGGCAUGCAGUCAAUUCCAAACCUGGUCAGCGCUGAAUGUGGAGACAACCCUUUGAAACAGUCGGCCAAUACAUGUGGAAUGCCGAACCCUCGUGGUGACCAACCUCUUCUCAGUGGGUCUUCUUUUCGCAACGCAAAGGAGAAAGGAGAAAUGCAUAUGUUCUCUCAAACCCGUCAAAAAUGGUGGCCGCGGGGUGGACGGACAAUAUACACAGCGUUUGCGCAUGAACGUGGAAACAAGCCGCUCCAUGUUCCCCAUUUCCCCAGCGCGUGUGGCUCACCAAAAAGUGCGCGGUUUUUUUGGGCGAUGCGCUUCCUCCACUCCUUGCAGAGAAUUGAUGACCGGGUUGGCAAAAGGGGAAUCAAAGCAGAGUAAAACCCCACACAGACAAGGGAGCCAUCCCCAGCACCGAAAACCGCGGAGAGGAAAAAAGUGUUCUCGGUGUUGAAGCGCAGAGGAUGGCGCGCGUCUCCCCAUUGGUCGUCUGCCAAACUGUGUGCGCGGCGUGUGCGAGCGUUUCUCACACAGGUCGCUUUCUUGCAUUUCCCCCGCACUUGCUUUGUUUCAUUGGAAAACAGCGCGGAAGAGCAUGUUGGUUCGCAUUUGAUCGACACAAAGGCUCGUCUCAAUGUGUGCAAAGGGCAAGAGAUCGCAAUGAAAGGGAGAUGGCAAGAGUGGCCCGGAAAAGAGGGAAGCGCGGAAAGAGAUGUGCGUUGCGGUGCAGCGUUGUGCAAUCUGGAGGGACGCUGGCCUUCUCUUUCCCCUCGUUUUGUGACGCCGGGAAACUCCACCUCUCUUUGCUAUCCCCAUUCGAGAGGCGUUUGCGCCCUAUACGGUGUAUUGCACGGAUUUGAAACGCCUUCGUGGACGAAGCAGAUCAAACAUGGAACCAUUCUCUCUCUGUUGUGACACGUUGUGUAGCAGCAUCCGCCGUUGGAAGGGGAAUCAAAGCAGAGUAAAACCCCACACAGACAGGGAUCCAUCCCCAGCACCGAAAACCGCGGAGAGGAAAAAGUGUUCUCGGUGUUGAAGCGCAGAGGAUGGAGCGCGUCUCCCCAUUGGUCGUCUACCAAACUGUGUGCGCGGCGUGUGCGAGCGUUUCUCACACAGGUCGCUUUCUUGCAUUUCCCCCGCCGCACUUGCUUUUCUUCCUCCUGGCGCGAAAGGGGAUGAGGAAGAGGGGCAAGAGAGGUGGUAUUUGCGGCCGGCGCGGGCGGCAACAACGUGGCGAAAAGAAAAACAGAGCAGUGUUGGAAAGGUUGGAACCGAGCCGAUAGCAAGCAAUCCUUUGUCGUAGACGGAUUGCUUCAGCGCAGUCGCAUGAGCAGCUGCCCUAUCAGCCAUCGAUCAUGGUGCAGUGAACCAUCGUGGCAGUUACGGGUAACGCGGAAUGAGGGUUCGAUUCCGGAGAGGGAGCCUGAGAAAUGGCUACCACAACUAAGGUUGGCAGCAGGCGCGCAAAUUGCCCAAUCUCAAAGUCCUGGAUGAGGCAGCGACGGAACAUGGCACACUGUGUUGUCUAUCAUGGCAACCUGUGUGGAAUGGAUGAGUUCCUAAAUCAUGCAAUGAGCAUCAACUUGAGGACCAGUCUGGUGCCAGCACCCGCGGUAAUUCCAGCUCAAGUGGCGUACACUGACGUUGUUGCUGUUAAAAAGCUCGUAGUUGAAUGCCAAGGACGGAGCGACUGGCGCGGUUGUUGUUGCCCAUCUGAGGACCGGUUGCCAAUCACUUGGGGUUACGAGGACCACGAAAACGCGUGUGCAAAGCCUACUUGCAUCGACAGCACACCUCCUGGGAGGCGGCUCCAACCCGUGCCCCACCCUGUGAGGGUAACGUGCGACGGAUCGUAUGGUCUUUGCCUCUGCUUGUCCUCCCCCAACAGACCGUUGCUUCCUCUGGGCCCCCGCGCUACCGUCCCGCUUCAAUGUCCUACGGCAGACACUGAGGCACGUUACACGGAAGCGAAUUCUCUCUUCUUUGCGGACCACCUUCCCAACAGCCGAUGCGUCCACGCUCGUUUCUUCGUGUUGCGUUUCCCCCGGAAGAGGAGGAAGGAACGGUUUGCCAGCACCGAGGGGUCCGUGCGGGGAAACGGCAAGGGCGACUGGUUCCCCACCGAGUGCCUCGUCUUUGCCCGUUUGCCUUCGCCCAAUGCCGCUCCCCUCGGGGUCCAGAAAAGUGCGUUCUUUCCUUUCGUUUGCGCCGGGGGGAAGACUUCGAAGAACAUGGCCACUCGAGUGAGAUCGUCCGUGAAUCGUUACCGUGACUAAAUCAGAGUACUACAAGCAGUCGCGGAUCCUUCCAGCGUUCCGUGCGUGACUGUAUGCUCAAGUGCGAAAUAGCAAGGGAUCGUCCAAAUGGAUGGCAAAAGAAAAGGGGCUCCACCAAGAGGAAAAAGCAAUGCGCCGAGGCCUCUCCAAUUUCUCUGUGCGCGGGUGAGAAAGCAGGGGGUGAGGCUUCUUCGUUCCAAAGCGGGCAAAUCCGUGCACUGGGCAAGACAUCCCACUUCGCACCAAGGGGGGAAUCCGUGUGCGCUAGUUCUCCAAGAGAAAGGAGUGUGCUGCAAAUGAGAUGCCCCAUUUGCUGCGGUGAACCCCAAAUGGCAAGGUGGUGUUGUGCGCGGAUCCGUUGCUUUCCGGCGUGUGUGCGAGUGAUGCUUCCCUUAUUUUGCUCCCAUUUGUUCCGACAGUCUUUAUGAACCAACUCUCAUGGAGAAUUUGGAUUGCGAAGGAACGCUCAGGAAUGCGGGGUGUUGUACACAGGCCGGGCUAUCGUGUUUGCCAACCAAGCCGUACCCGCGUCCAUGUUUGUGCCUCCCUUAGCGCCUGGCCCACACAGAGUGCUGCGUCGGUGUUGUGUUGCGCGAAGCGUUUGUAUUCCCCGGCCCGCUGGCUGGGCUGUGUCGAACCUUCCGCGCACUUGCUUCCCGUCCCCUCGCAGUGGGCGCCCACCCAUCUUGCCAGUACUUCCUUUCCUUGUGAUGACCGGGGCCGCUGUAUGCCAUGGGUACUCAGAGGCGAGGGGUGAAAUCCGUAGACCCUCUGAGGACCACCAACGGCCAAAGCACGUGGCAACUUCGCGCCCGCCAAUCAAGAACGAGAGUGUGGGGAUCGAAGAUGAUCAGAUACCGUCAUAGUCCACUGCUGUAAACGAUGCCAACUGGGAAACGGGCGUGUGUUCCGUUCGGAAUGUCGCGUCCGGUUCUUCCCACCUCCAUGAACGAGAAAUCCAAGUGUAUGGGUUCAGGGGGGAGUAUCGUCGCAAGGCUGAAACUUAAAGGAAUUGACGGAGUGGCACCACAAGGCGUGGAGUGUGCGGCUUAAUUUGACUCAACACGGGAAACUUUACAGAUCCGAUCGUGUGCAAGGAUGGACAGGCUGAAGCACUUUCUCGAGCUCCGCAAAAGUGGUGCAUGGCCGUUCCUGGUUGGUGGAGUGAUCUGUCUGGUUGAUUCCGGUAACGAACGAGGUCUCCGCUACUCAGUAGACCACAUCCUCGCUGUAGGGAAUCUCGCGCCGCCGCGCCAUUGGCGUUGUGCUCCAACCAGGGCACAGCAUCCCCCGUUCUUGCAGGAGGACGUGGGGCGCGGUGGAGGUGCGGCCCGAGAGUGAUGUGCAACAGCCAAUGCUUCUCAGUGGGGUUGAACACUAUUCGUGUGAUGCAGUGUUUUCACUCGGGAGCCAAAAACAGGUCUGUGAUGCCCUUAGAUGCUCUGGGCUGCACGCGCACGACACUGAUGCUUUCCACGUGUCCAAACGCAUGUUCCGUUCGCAGUGGGGUUUUGUACCCUUCACUUUCUCAGGUGUUGUGGCGUAGCUGUGAAACCGGAUCAAACAGUUCCAGGAACAUGCCUCUUUUGAAGGUGAAACGGGCAAUCCCUGGAAUCUGCGUCGUGAUUGGGCUCGGUGAUUGCGAACUGUUUGCCUUCAAAGAGGAAUGCCUAGUACGAGCAAGUCAUUAGCUUGCGCGGAUUGAUGUCUCUGCCAUUUGUACACACCGCCCGUCGUUGCUACCGAUGAUGACGUGAUAAAGACCAGAGGAGUGCUCGUGCGAGCAAGAGUACGCUGCCAGAAAACGGGGCAGCCUCUUCUUGCGCGAGGCAAAUCUGUGCAAUAUCACUUCGUUCGAGGAAGCAAAAGUCGUAACAAGGUAGCUGUAGGUGA
Molecule: ribosomal RNA, 4503 nt
Filed under: Distigma sennii
Lineage: Eukaryota; Euglenozoa; Anisonemea; Natomonadida; Distigmidae
Description: partial small subunit ribosomal RNA
Rfam family: Eukaryotic small subunit ribosomal RNA (bases 2932-4503)
Source: RNAcentral